Long non-coding RNA from Poecilia reticulata (guppy), 903 nucleotides. RefSeq lists it as uncharacterized. NCBI's taxonomy places the organism in Eukaryota, Metazoa, Chordata, Actinopteri, Cyprinodontiformes, Poeciliidae. The record is from RefSeq and is a predicted model, not a curated record.
UGUGGCCACAGUGUGUGCUUUUGUGGUGUUUGGUUUUCCACUGAGCUGAAAAGCCCGAUGCGGCGAGGCUCAGAAUAGAUUUUUAUUGAUCCGUGAUGGAGGGCUUAGGGAAUGUGCAAUGGAAAAAGAGAGGGGAAAAAAUGGCGGAUUGGGAAGUUGUAUAAAGGAGAAGCUCCAAUAAUUGAGCCCUGUGUUGGAUUUCUUGAGUUAAUGAGAGUCAACCAUCACCGGAGGGAUGAUUACCUUCCACAUUACAUCUCAUCGCUCCUUCUGCACGUAAAUAUGUGCAGCAAACACGGUUUGUGUGGCUCGUCUCUUUGCCUCGUGGCCCCAUCACGGUUACCAUGGGAACAGCGUUUAGGGGUGACAUCACUGCAGCAGUGUGGCAUCAUCACUGAGAUGACUCAUGCUUGUUUUUUUUUUUUUUUUGUUGUUUUUUUAAGCCGGCUAAUAGCUUUUUAGAAAGAGUGUAGAGGGACGGGAGAAGACAUGCUGUAAAGGUACCGAGGUCGGGAGUCGAACCCGUCCGGGACAGCCGCGAUGGAGACUAAGGCCUCCGCAAACGGGGCGCUACGCCACGCUACGCCACGCGACGCAACGCCGCGGUGACUCGUGCUAGCUCUGGGUCGGUUUUUGUGCGCGUGCCUCGGAGCGGUUUCCGACGCACCGACACUCAACGAGAGGAAAACACACGUAACUCUUGACAUUUAUGUUUUAUUCUAUGUAACAAAAAUAAUUACAAUGUUUUUUUUGUUGUUGUUGUUCUAGGACUCUAAUAAGAUUUCAAAAUAAAAGUAAAAAGGACACACAGACAGAUUUACAUAAACAUCAUAGAGAGAAGUCGAAGAGUAUAGUUAUAUUGAACAACAGAGCGGACAUGAUUCCCUGUUAAGAAGAAAAGUU